Molecule: long non-coding RNA, 1492 nt
Organism: Oncorhynchus tshawytscha (Chinook salmon)
Lineage: Eukaryota; Metazoa; Chordata; Actinopteri; Salmoniformes; Salmonidae
Exons: 4
Source: RefSeq, a predicted model, not a curated record
UAUAAUAAUACAACUGAAAAACACUAGAUUGAUUUAAUUUGAACCAAAAUUACCAUUUUAAAACUAUUUGUGACAUGUAUGGACAUGCAAUAUCAUAAAUGGACACUAGAGGAUAGUGUUGAAUCUCGUAGUAGGCAUUUUCACCAUAAAGGAUGAAGAAAAAAUAUUGUUUACUUCCUGGAGGAGGCAGUCUUGAAAGCGUACAGAUAUGCUGGUUGGAUAACAGUUCGUGUUAGUGAUGACUGGCACUGUUCUGGAUCUUCAGAAAAGUACAACAUCAAACUAAUUAGCGUAAUAUGUUUAAAUUCAGAUCAUAUUUUUUUUAAAGUUUAUUUUUCACGACGUUGUGUUCAGUGUGCAUACCUUUUAGUAGCUUUGGGACACCAAAGAUAAACUUUUAGCAAGCUGGUUGGCAAGCAUGCCUUGCUGGAUCCUUGAUGCUGAAGGACAUCUGCCUACCUGAUGGUAGAGUUCUAUCCUCUGGCCUAAAGGACUGCUGUGAGGUAGCAGAGAAGUGGCGACGCAGUGUCUUAACGACAGAACAAAAAUCUGGAGGAAAGAUACCCAAGCAUCCCUGGAGAGGAAGCCCAAUCCAGACAGCAGAGUAUCAUCUGACCUCCGGCAGCUCAGCCUGGAUGACUUUCCAGAGGAUGGUGAGAGGCUAGUAAAGGACUCCAGAGAAGGACUAUCCAGAGAAGAAGACAGGAAUUAUGAGACAUUGUUUGGCGGCUCCUGGCUCUCACCCAGGGCAGAACAAGUCCCACAGGCUUUUUGUGAAGGAGGGUGUGGCCUCCUGUAGGGCCUCUGUAAGGCAGGUGUGUGAGGAGGCCCAUAGACAGUGUGUGCAGAUCCAGGGGGUUAGUAAGAAGGACUUGGAACAAGAUGAGCGCAGGAGGGGUCCACCAGGUUUUAUGCCUGCAUGCCAGUCCUCUGGGUUAUCUGCCAGAGGACAAUACCUCCAAGCCACCCAGGGACAGCAGUCGCAUCCCCCUCUGGCUACUCUUCGAUGGAGUGCAAGACCCAAUGAACGUUCUGCAUAUUUUCUUGGGGUAGAUCGAGUUGGCGGAAGUCUUUGUAACAGGUGGUGAAAGGGAAGACUAUUCCCGGGAACCGCGUCUGCAUUGAGGCACUGCUAACCGUCCUACCUCGCAGAGACCUGCACCCUGGCCUGGUGUCGAAUCCAUCAAUGUCUCUGUGGCAUCCUGCUACACUUACCCCUGUCGUCCUGUAGAGAUGGCCAUCGAUGACCGACUAGACUAGACAACUCAAGGUGUUUACUUUGGAUGCCCUCCCAGGCACUCCUCCCAGGGCUUAAUGACUGGAUUUACUGCAUCAAUUAGCCAUCAGGGUCUCUGAGAGGCCUGGCUGGCUGAUCGAUUGUUCUCUAGCAGCUGAUGUCCCCUUGCCGUGCUGUUCUGCACUGCCCUGUACCAUGCUAACUGCUUGUCUGAAUGUAAACUUAGUACAAUGUAAUUAAAUCAAAUCAAACAUU